CAAACUCUGAGUUAAAACGAAACUCUGAGUUGAUUUACUCUGAGUUUGCAAACCCGGAGUUUUCGGUUCCAGAACAGCUGAAAAGAGUUGGUUUAAGCAACUCUGAGUUGUCUGACUCAGAGUUAAGCGCGUGCACCGCGACGAUACAAAGCCCUGAUCAAUGGAGUGCAGAUAUUACGAGUCACCAUGGCAACAGGACAACAACAGACGUCCGGAAAUGGAUAUGAUACUUCAAGCAUAUAGCGACUACGAGUCUAUAAUCCGUAGAAAAAGCAACACGGCUGCAGCGGCGAAAGAGAAAGAAUUAGCUUGGAAGAAAAUAGCUGCUCGAGUCAAUGCCCAACAGAAACAAGGCAGAGACUAGAACAACUGGUGGAGGACCUGCACCUCCACCACUGACGCAUGCAGAGGAGAAGGCACUCAGCCUGAACACUGGAAAGCAGGGGCUGAAGGAAUUCAUCAGAACCCGUUACUCCCCAGGAUACAAGUGCAUUUGUAAAAUAGUGUGAAAGAACAGCAGGAGGAGGUCAGUCACAUUCUGCUGCACAGAUGCACACAGUUCAGUGAUGUUCAGUAAACGCCAGAGUUCAAUUCUGUAAGAGUAAUGAGGAACUAUGUCAUGUAACUCUAAAUC
Molecule: long non-coding RNA, 634 nt
Organism: Betta splendens (Siamese fighting fish)
Lineage: Eukaryota; Metazoa; Chordata; Actinopteri; Anabantiformes; Osphronemidae
Exons: 3
Source: RefSeq, a predicted model, not a curated record